UACAGGGGGUGCAAACGUUGCUCGGAAUUAUUGGGCGUAAAGCGCUUGUAGGCGGCUUGUUAAGUUCCGUGUGAAAUCCCCAGGCUUAACCUGGGAAGUGCGCGGAAAACUGGCGAGCUUGAGUGCCGGAGAGGGUCGCGGAAUUCCCGGUGUAGAGGUGAAAUUCGUAGAUAUCGGGAGGAACACCAGUGGCGAAGGCGGUUACCUGGAGCUUUGCUGACGCUGAUGCGCGAAAGCGUGGGGAGCGAUCCGG
Molecule: ribosomal RNA, 253 nt
Filed under: uncultured bacterium
Lineage: Bacteria
Description: partial 16S ribosomal RNA
Rfam family: Bacterial small subunit ribosomal RNA
Source: RNAcentral